RNAcentral lists this long non-coding RNA (311 nucleotides) under Ananas comosus (pineapple). RNAcentral's name for it is "long non-coding RNA (ACOM_LNC001856)". The record is from RNAcentral. Lineage: Eukaryota; Viridiplantae; Streptophyta; Magnoliopsida; Poales; Bromeliaceae.
AAUGAUCUAUCUUUCAUACCUGAGGUGCCGAGCUUCCCGAAUGAGUCUUUCAAAUUGAAUAUUCUCUCCAAAACUUCGCUUAUAACUUUUCAAAACUCCAUUCGACUUCACGAAAUUCGCCAACUUAGAAAAUCCUUAACAAUCUCUCCCUUUGGUGAUUUCGUGACAAAACAUAUUACAAUGCUCAUACAAACCUCAAAAACAAUAAAAAGAAGAUUAUCACAAUCACCAAACGACAAUCUCUUGCAUGACCGAUCCAAUAAAAAAAAAUUACAUUUUUCUCACAAUUCUAAUACAAACUUUAUGACUUA